AACCUAAAGAAUUUGGCGGUGUUUUAAAUAAUUMGAGGAACCUGUUAUUUAAAUGACACUCCACAUCACAUCUUUCCUMMAUUUUGUUUGUAUMUCGUUGUUUAGGUAAUAUUUAAAGAUUUAUUACCGGGUUUAAUUAAAUUUUUAAAAUCAAMUCMGGGUGCAGCAYAUUUAGGUUUUAAUGGGUUACAAUAUAAGUCAUAUAUCAUGAAUAUAAAAUGAAAAUAUUAUUGAAGGUGGAUUUAAAAGUAAAUUAAAAUUAAGAAGUUUAUUUGAUUAAUAAUUUAAAACAUGCACACAU
This 301-nucleotide ribosomal RNA is filed under the name aff. Euscorpiops/Scorpiops sp. 2 VO-2020. Its description in RNAcentral is "partial small subunit ribosomal RNA". Lineage: Eukaryota; Metazoa; Arthropoda; Arachnida; Scorpiones; Euscorpiidae. The record is from RNAcentral.